This 538-nucleotide ribosomal RNA is filed under the name uncultured bacterium. Its description in RNAcentral is "bacterial SSU rRNA". It matches the Rfam family "Bacterial small subunit ribosomal RNA", at positions 777 to 1314 of the family's 1533-position model. The record is from RNAcentral.
AAUAGAUACCCGGGUAGUCCAUGCCGUAAACGUUGGGCGCUAGAUGUGGGGACCAUUCCACGGUUUCCGUGUCGCAGCUAACGCAUUAAGCGCCCCGCCUGGGGAGUACGGCCGCAAGGCUAAAACUCAAAGGAAUUGACGGGGGCCCGCACAAGCGGCGGAGCAUGCGGAUUAAUUCGAUGCAACGCGAAGAACCUUACCAAGGCUUGACAUAUACGAGAACGCUCUAGAAAUAGAGAACUCUUUGGACACUCGUAUACAGGUGGUGCAUGGUUGUCGUCAGCUCGUGUCGUGAGAUGUUGGGUUAAGUCCCGCAACGAGCGCAACCCUCGCUCUAUGUUGCCAGCGGUUCGGCCGGGAACUCAUAGGAGACUGCCGGGGUCAACUCGGAGGAAGGUGGGGAUGACGUCAAAUCAUCAUGCCCCUUAUGUCUUGGGCUUCACGCAUGCUACAAUGGCCGGUACAAAGGGCUGCAAUACCGUAAGGUGGAGCGAAUCCCAAAAAGCCGGUCUCAGUUCGGAUUGAGGUCUGCAACUCG